Molecule: ribosomal RNA, 253 nt
Filed under: uncultured bacterium
Lineage: Bacteria
Description: partial 16S ribosomal RNA
Rfam family: Bacterial small subunit ribosomal RNA
Source: RNAcentral
UACAGAGGUGGCAAGCGUUGUUCGGAAUUACUGGGCGUAAAGGGCGCGUAGGCGGCCUCUUUAGUCAGACGUGAAAUCCCCCGGCUUAACCUGGGAACUGCGUCUGAUACUGGGAGGCUAGAGUUCGGGAGAGGGAUGUAGAAUUCCAGGUGUAGCGGUGAAAUGCGUAGAUAUCUGGAGGAAUACCGGUGGCGAAGGCGGCAUCCUGGACCGACAUUGACGCUGAGGAGCGAAAGCUAGGGGAGCAAACGGG